CCCAGACUCCUACGGGAGGCAGCAGUGGGGGAUAUUGCACAAUGGGGGGAACCCUGAUGCAGCGACGCCGCGUGGGUGAAGGAGCGUUUCGGCGCGUAAAGCCCUAUCGGCAGGGAAGAAGGAGGACGGUACCUGACUAAGAAGCCCCGGCUAACUACGUGCCAGCAGCCGCGGUAAUACGUAGGGGGCAAGCGUUAUCCGGAUUUACUGGGUGUAAAGGGGGCGCAGACGGCAGCGCAAGCCAGGAGUGAAAGCCCGGGGCCCAACCCCGGGACUGCUCUUGGAACUGCGCGGCUGGAGUGCAGGAGGGGCAGGCGGAAUUCCUGGUGUAGCGGCGAAAUGCGUAGAUAUCAGGAGGAACACCGGUGGCGAAGGCGGCCUGCUGGACUGCGACUGACGUUGAGGCCCGAAAGCGUGGGGAGCAAACAGGAUUAGAUACCCCCGUAGC
RNAcentral lists this ribosomal RNA (448 nucleotides) under uncultured bacterium. RNAcentral's name for it is "partial 16S ribosomal RNA". It matches the Rfam family "Bacterial small subunit ribosomal RNA", at positions 330 to 794 of the family's 1533-position model. The record is from RNAcentral.